Molecule: long non-coding RNA, 4880 nt
Organism: Onychostoma macrolepis
Lineage: Eukaryota; Metazoa; Chordata; Actinopteri; Cypriniformes; Cyprinidae
Exons: 3
Source: RefSeq, a predicted model, not a curated record
AAUGAAUCCUCUUUCCACCGCGGAGAGACUCCUGAUUAAAAUGGAGGCGAUCUGACUGUCAGGAUGGAUGAGAGAUUGGAGAGCGGAGCGAAGCGAAGCGGCGUCGGCGUGAUUCACCGGCUCUGCGCAGAAAUAGUGUCUAUUUUUGGACUGGGAUCUGCGCAGAGUGUGUUUGUGCUCAAUUACCCCUCUGGUUUGCUGCUCUCUGAUUUCCUGGUGUCUUCUUCAAGCACUGACCUGCAAGAGAUCAUCAAGACAAUGAAAUCACUCUUCUGUCUGGAAAUACACAAUUGUCAAACAUUUCACAAUUGAAGACCUCUCUGCUGGAAAGACUGUUUUUAAAUGUGAUGUAGCAGGUGCUGGACGUUGGCGACAGGCUUAUCAUUCCCAAUGAGUACACAGAGGAGAAGACGACCUCAGGGAUUUGGUGGAAGCAGCUGGUUGCCAGAGCAACGGCAGGACCGAUAUCCAGGACAGGAACCUUUUGGGCUGAAUGAAAGUUUUUUCUUAUGCAUGUGCGAACAUCAUUAGCAUUUCUCAAUAUUUAGACUGACUUUAUCUUUUUUUAAAGCAAAUCUAGUCUGUUUUCAGUGUUAAAGUGAUACUAAGAAUAUAAUAUUCUAUUCCAGAUAUUACUCACUUGAGAGUUUCAUGAAUUGAAAUGCGUUGCUCUGUGAGUAAUUUGUUGUUGUUUUGAGUGGGUUUCAGGUCGAUUCUUUCUGAUCAAACCAAAGAAACAGAUGCCACUGUGGAAGAGAAACAAAUGUAAUGAUGUUAAAAUUUGCAGCAGAAUCCACCAUGACAGGCAGGAUCCAGAAUAUAUAUUUGAACAUAAAUGGCUCAGUCUCAGUCUGAUAUAAAAGGAUUUCUAGUCAAGAAUAACCAUAGACAAUUGGAUAUUAUGCACUAUAUGCAUGUGGAAAAAAAUGCAUUUGCUGGCUUGGAAACGUCACUCUUGAAGACCUACCAUUAAAGUUGAACUACGUUCAUUACCUCACCAUGGCAACAGGGCAGAAAAAUAUUGUUUCUUAAUAAAAAUUAGCACUAAAAAAAGAUUGCAUCAUCAUCAUAAGCUCUUGAAUAUAAAAGGAUGUCCAACUUUAUCCACAUACAGUGUAUUAGGGUGAUAUAUAUAGCAAAUCUUAACUGCUUGAUUGCUUGAAGCUCUCUAACCUCGCAAACACGUCAUCUAGGACCAGCAAAACCAGGGAAAAGGAGGCACAAAGGCCUUUUAUGCAUGCUACAUCUCCAUAUCCUGGGCAUUACUCCAUAUACAUCCAUCGAUCUUGCCGUUUUAUGAGGUACAAGCACAAAAACGAUUACUCAAGAAGCCAAGCUAGCAGUAUUUUAUAGCAUCAUACCUAUAAAUAAAUAUCUUGUAAUGGAAUUGGCUUACCAUUUUAUAUUUGGAUUGUUUCAUUUGUAAUCGACUCCAUUGGACUGUACUUCCACAUCUCUGUCGGUUGCCUUAUAUAUGAGGCUGUGUUUCAGAUAUUAACAGUGACGGCCACUUGAAGAGAAGCUCUCAAUAAGGAUGAUUGAUUUAUAGGUAGCACCAGUGUUUAUCAUUGUCAUAAACCGUGGUGCUCCUCAACCAUCACAAAUGUUCCAUUAAAAACUACUCAAGUCUCAUCAAAUGCUCUCCGUGGGAUUGCAAAUACUGCAAUGAGCCUAUAAUUCGCUGUCUGGUUUUAAUUAACAUUAAUGAUAAAAUAUGUCACUUGCAUACUGUGCAGCAUAUACUAUAAACACCCUACUAUUAAAAAGAAAAAAAAAAAAAUCAUGUUAAAAUCUCUGAAUCUUUGGAAGUCAAGAAUGAGUGCACCAUAUCUUAUGUUCACCGAGGCUGCAUUAUUUUUAAUCAAAAAUAUAGUAAAAAACGGUGAUACUGUGAAAUAUUAGCAUAUUAUAAUAGCUCUUUUACAGUUUAAUAUUUUAAAAUGUCAUUCAUUUCUGUAAUCAGAAAUCAUUGCAACAUGCUGAUUUGCUGCUCAACAAACAUUUCUUAUUAUCAAUGUUGAAAACAAUUUUGCUGCUCAAUGUUUCUGUGGAAACGGAUACAUAUACAUUUGCUCAGGAUUCUUUGAUGAAUAUUUCAAAAGAACAGCAUUUAUCUAAAAUAACAUUUGAAAUUAACUUUUGAUCAAUUUAAUGAGUUAAUAAAUUUGGUCAAAAAUGGAAGAAUAUAUAUCGCUCUGAUUGUAUACUACAAAUCUACUAGAUUGUCUGGGUAAUUUAUUAAAUAUGGGAAUACAAUUCAAUUCACAUGAUAUUUUCAUACGGCAACUGAAACUGCAAUUUUUGCCUAAUUUGUAAGCUUAAUCAUAUAGGCUAGAAAAUUUGCUAAAUAUAAAAUAAAUAGUUAAAAAAAGAAAAAAGAAGAAGUCAUUCUGAGGUGUCAAUCUUGUCUGCAUCGCAAAGAGCGAUGGAAAACGUGCUAAAGGUAAAUACUUAAGGUCUUUGCACACUGUAUUCACCAUCCUUUCCUAUCAAAAUGCUUGCUACGGGAAGCGAAAAUGCAGAAAAUCGAACCUGAUCCGAAAGUUUCGGAUGGGAAAGGAUGUUAGGAAUGUUUUCGGAUUAGGAAAGGAUGACGAAUACGAAAAAACACAUCUCAGCGUGCAAGGACCUUUAGGGCUUCAAAUUCGGAGUAUAGUGAUGAAAAUAGUAGGGGUAGUAUGGUAGUAUGCCAUUGUGAACAAUCCUUUAUUCCCUUAAUCAAAGUCAGCACUUCACCAGAGCCUUAAAAACCCACCUUUUGAUACGCUGAAACACAGUCCUAACCCCAGCAUCCUGUUCCUGCUGGCCCGCGGGACUUCCUCCAGCAGGCACAGGCACUUCGCCAGCUCUCCCAGGGCACUGCUGCGCACCCGUAUGCAGGCACAAACUAGCUCUGUGCUCCCUGAGAGAAUCCCUAUCAGACACAGAGAGACGCUCUUUAUGUCUUAAUGGAGGACAAAUCUGUUAGCGUACGGCCAGCGUGCGUGCGUGGGCUCUUCACUGCUGUCACCCGAGCACAAAUCAGAUGAAUGGAGACACUUUUAGAGAGGCGCUGAGCUGGCAGACGUUUCGUUUUUACCUCAAAGCAGCUUAAAGUUUUUGUUUUGCUGUGUGAUUUAUUGAUUGUAGAAGUGCAUUUAAAUGAACAGUGUAAAGAGGAUGAAGCAUUUCAUGUCAGUCAGGGUUUUUUUUUUGUUAAGUGAUUUAAGUAACUUGGAGGCCUACAAUAUUACUACAUUUAUACUACCUGAACCUUCAUUUAUUUGAUCUAAAAUACAUUAGAAACAGUAAUAUUAUGAGAUAUUACAACUUAAAAUAACUAUUUUCUAUUUGAAUAUAUUUUAAAUUUAUUCCUGUGACACAAAGCCAAAAAAUCAGCAUCAUUACUCCAGUCUUCAGAGUCACAUGACCCUUCAGAAAUCAUUCUAAUCUGCUGAUUUUCUUCUCAAACAUUUCUUCUUUUUUUAUUAUUAUUAUUUUAUUUAUCAAUGUUGAAAACAGUUGUGCUGCUUAAUAUUUGGGUGGAAAACAAAUUUUUUCAGGAUUCUUAAACAAAUAGAAAGCUCAAAAGAACAGUAUUAAUAUAAAAUAGUAAUCUUUUGUAAAAUUAUAAAUGUCUUUACUGUGACUUUUGAUCAAUUUAAUACAUUCUUGCUGAAUAAAUCCCCGAUCCAAAACUUGUAAAGCAAUACUCACCCUAAUGUCACUCCAAACCUCCAGUAUGAGCUUUUCUCUGUGAAACACAAAAGAAGUUUACAUAUAAAGAUGUACAGGGGUCAAAAACAGCUUCAGAAGUUCAACCAAUUGCAUUUAAUAUAAAUUUAAACUACAAUACAUUACAUUUAUUUGCAAAUAGCAUGCAAUUAAGUGUUUGAAAACAUUACUUAAGUACAUUAUUUCUGCAAUACCCCUUUUAAAAGUAUUCUUAAGUAUAUUUGUUUUUCACAAGGGUGGCCCUUUAAAAUACAGACCCAUAAUGCAUGUAAUAAUGUUAUGAAUUCUUAAACUAAUGGCUGUUUUGUAUUUUUCAGCAUCCCUGGAUGAAGCAGGCCAGCCAUCGCUGAGAGCUCUGGUGCAGACUGAACUCACUAAAGGAGGAUUCUUUGGACUUAACUGUGGCAUUUUGCCAAUCUUCAUGAAAGUUACUCCUGCUGUUAGCAGUUGUGGACAAAUACACAGACAGGACUAAGAAUUUCAAAAUAAGGGUCACUUACAGUCUCUGUCCUUUUCUCCUGAAAGUCCUAAAGCAACAAACAAAUGAAAUGGCACAAGUAUGUUACCAUACAAAAUUCCUGCUCUCACCACAGUAGUACAGCACUAAGUAGUCUCCAGUGUUUUUUGAGGAUCACAGUGGAGUUCAGGAGUUUGUUCCCCACAAAGUAGCAGUGAAUGUGAAGGUUAUUCAAAGUGACCUUGAAUUUUUAACCAUUAAAUGUUUGGAAUGGUGGAAUUCACCACUUUUAUUGCUUUAAGAUGAUUUUUCAUGUUCCUAAAACAAGGCCACCCGCUUACGGAACCCUCUUUCUAUGCACAUUAAAUCUGCUCCUUCUGUGGAUGCUUUUAAAUCAACUUUGAAGUCCUCCCUCUUCAGUGUGGCCUUUCAGACCGGCUAGAGUGUUUAGGUUUUACGUUGUUUUUUGUGACUGUUUGUUUUAUUCUUGUUUUAAUGUCUCCUGGAAAGCACGUUGGUCAACGGUAGUUGUUUUAAAUGUGCUAUAGAAAUAAAGUUUGUAUUGUAUUUAAGUGACAUUUCAUCCUCUUCUGGUCUUCAGAAUUAUGAUGUUUAUCGUACUGCACUAUUAAGACUUUGAAUGCAAAAUCUCAGUAAGUGAAUAGGAAAAAGGGAAUAGGUAACUGUAUACAUACAUACUCUACGUCAC